This 492-nucleotide ribosomal RNA is filed under the name uncultured bacterium. RNAcentral describes it as "bacterial SSU rRNA". It matches the Rfam family "Bacterial small subunit ribosomal RNA", at positions 28 to 521 of the family's 1533-position model. The record is from RNAcentral.
AAUGAACGUUGGCGGCGUGGAUUAGGCAUGCAAGUCGAGGGAGAACCCGCAAGGGGGACACCGGCGAACGGGGUAGGAUCAUCUCGGUGACGUACCCUCCGGACGGGGAUAGCCACGGGAAACUGUGGGUAAUACCCGAUGACCUGGCAGGCGAUUAGGGCUUGUCAGCAAAGGUGAGAUUCCACCGGAGGAGCGGCUGAGACGCUAUUAGCUUGUUGGCGAGGUAAUGGCUUACCAAGGCGACGAUGGCUAGGGGGUGUGAGAGCAUGGCCCCCACCACUGGCACUGAGACACUGGCCAGACACCUACGGGUGGCUGCAGUCGAGAAUCUUCGGCAAUGGGCGCAAGCCUGACCGAGCGACGCCGCGUGCGGGAUGAAGGUCUUCGGAUUGUAAACCGCUGUCGGAGGGGAUGAAGUGUAUGGGAGCAAUCUCCUGUAUUUGACAGAGCCUCGGAGGAAGCACGGGCUAAGUUCGUGCCAGCAGCCGCGGU